This 474-nucleotide ribosomal RNA is filed under the name Staphylococcus pseudintermedius. RNAcentral's name for it is "bacterial SSU rRNA". It matches the Rfam family "Bacterial small subunit ribosomal RNA", at positions 1 to 464 of the family's 1533-position model. The record is from RNAcentral. Lineage: Bacteria; Bacillati; Bacillota; Bacilli; Caryophanales; Staphylococcaceae.
UUUAUGGAGAGUUUGAUCCUGGCUCAGGAUGAACGCUGGCGGCGUGCCUAAUACAUGCAAGUCGAGCGAACAGAUAAGGAGCUUGCUCCUUUGACGUUAGCGGCGGACGGGUGAGUAACACGUGGGUAACCUACCUAUAAGACUGGAAUAACUCCGGGAAACCGGGGCUAAUGCCGGAUAACAUGUUGAACCGCAUGGUUCUACAGUGAAAGACGGUCUUGCUGUCACUUAUAGAUGGACCCGCGCCGUAUUAGCUAGUUGGUGGGGUAACGGCCUACCAAGGCGACGAUACGUAGCCGACCUGAGAGGGUGAUCGGCCACACUGGAACUGAGACACGGUCCAGACUCCUACGGGAGGCAGCAGUAGGGAAUCUUCCGCAAUGGGCGAAAGCCUGACGGAGCAACGCCGCGUGAGUGAUGAAGGUCUUCGGAUCGUAAAGCUCUGUUGUUAGGGAAGAACAAAUGUGUAAGUAA